Molecule: non-coding RNA, 4031 nt
Organism: Camellia sinensis
Lineage: Eukaryota; Viridiplantae; Streptophyta; Magnoliopsida; Ericales; Theaceae
Source: RefSeq, a predicted model, not a curated record
GGGGUAUAAUUAUUGUUUUUCUUCUGAAUUUUCCCGAAAAAAGCUCACCACAGCGACCAGACCAGACCAGACCAGCACCUAUAUGCAAACGGAAGACAUCACUAGCAGUGCCCCCAGCAUCCUCCCUCCGUCCGAGACCCCUUCAUCCAUCCAUCCAUCGAAGCUAUUCUUUCAUCAAAUAAAUAACAAAUUUCUCUGUUGGGAGUAUUGGGGGCAUACUGUGUUUCCUUGAAUAUUUCGUUUAUACAAACCCUAGAAAAGAAAAAAAGUACCAAUCAUCCCUUGUCUUCUCCCCUCCUAUAUCACUAGUCGACUAAGCACAAACAUUUGAAAGAUUAUUAUUGCCAUCCAUCCCCACUGCCACCGCUGCUGCUUUGUUUGAUCGUAUUGUAUUGUUUCUUUCUUCUACUACGACGACUACUACUACUACCAGGGUCUGAAGAUUCAGCGGUGCUCACACCCUCCUCCUCGAAACGACUCUUCGCUUCUUCCUGCAUAUAUACACCACGGGAGCGCUCGCGUAUAUGACGUGGGGGAGUGGGUGGCCUCUUUAAAACUGAACAUGGAAAAUGAGGUCAUUGAAUUCGAUAUAGGUCUCGGAGGUGGGGAUGCUGUCAGUGGAGACGAUGACCACCACCACCUGGUCAUUGAUGAAGAUAUGGCCGCCGACGAUGCUUCUCCCACUGGCCCUGGUGGCGGCUUUGGUGGCGGAGAAAUCUACAUUCCCGAAGGGGACCCUGAUCUUGAGCCUUAUGAGGGCAUGGAAUUUGAAUCUGAAGAGGCUGCCAAGGCUUUUUACAACUCAUAUGGUCGCCGCGUUGGAUUCAGCACCCGUGUUAGCUCCUCCAGGCGGUCCAGGAAGGAUGGAGCAAUCAUACAGAGAUCCUUCGUUUGUGCCAAAGAAGGGUUCCGGAACUUGAAUGAGAAGCGCACCAAAGAUAGAGAGAUCAAGCGCCCCCGCACCAUUACCCGAGUGGGAUGCAAAGCAUCCUUGUCCGUGAAGAUACAAGAUUCCUCCGGGAAAUGGGUUGUCUCCGGCUUUGUCAAGGAACACAAUCACGAACUUGUUCCCCCAGAUCAGGUGCAUUGCCUUCGCUCCCAUCGCCAAAUUUCUGGCCCUGCCAAGACCUUGAUAGAUACUUUACAGGCAGCUGGAAUGGGGCCCCGGAGGAUUAUGUCAGUUCUGAUCAAAGAGUAUGGUGGUAUCAGCAAAGUUGGAUUUACAGAAGUAGACUGUAGGAAUUACAUAAGAACUAAUCGGCAGAGGAGCUUUGAGGGAGACAUUCAGCUUCUUCUGGAUUAUUUGAGGCAAAUGCAUGCUGAGAAUCCUUCCUUCUUCUAUGCUGUGCAGGGCGAUGAGACAGGUAAUGUCUUCUGGGCUGAUCCAAAGGCAAAGAUGAACUACACUUACUUUGGUGAUACUGUAACAUUCGACACGACUUACAGGUCAAACAGAUACCGUUUGCCCUUUGCACCCUUCACUGGGAUAAAUCAUCAUGGACAGCCUGUGUUGUUCGGCUGUGCUUUCCUAAUGAAUGAAUCAGAAGCAUCAUUUGUUUGGCUAUUUAAGACAUGGCUUAUGGCAAUGUCUGGCCGCCCUCCGUUAUCAAUCACUACUGAUCACGAUGUGGUGAUACAAGCAGCCAUUUUGCAGGUCUUCCCGGACACCCGGCACCGUUUCUGCAAAUGGCACAUCUUUAAGAAAUGCCAGGAGAAGCUGUCCCAUGUGUUUCUUAAGCACCCAAAUUUCGAAGCGGACUUCCAUAAAUGUGUGAACUUGGCUGAUUCAAUUGAGGAGUUUGAAUCUUGCUGGUUAUCACUUGUUGAUAAGUAUGAUCUUAGGGAUCAUGAGUGGCUUCAGACGAUAUACUCUGCACGCAGGCAAUGGGUACCAGUGUAUUUGCGGGACACAUUUUUUGCAGAAAUGUCAAUAACACAACGUAGUGAUAGUAUGAACUCAUAUUUUGAUGGGUUUGUGAACGCAUCAACCAAUCUAAAUCAGUUCUUUAAACUGUACGAGAAAGCAUUGGACAGUCGCAAUGAAAAAGAAGUGAAAGCAGAUUUUGAUACAAUGAACGCUUCUCCUGUUCUGAAGACCCCUUCCCCCAUGGAGAAACAAGCAUCUAAGCUGUACACGAGAAAAUUAUUUGCAAGAUUUCAAGAGGAGUUGGUUGGCACUCUUACUUUCAUGGCAUCCAAAGUGGAAGACAAUGGAGAGGUGACAGCGUAUCAAGUAGCAAAGUUUGGGGAGGAUCAUAAAGCUUAUUAUGUUAAAUUUAAUGUCCUGGAGAUGAGAGCAACUUGCAGCUGCCAGAUGUUUGAGUUCUCAGGUCUUCUUUGCAGACAUAUAUUGGCCGUCUUUAGAGUGACAAAUGUACUUACUCUUCCAUUGCAUUACAUUUUGAAACGAUGGACAAGAAAUGCCAAGAGCACUAUUAUGUUAGAAGAACGUCCUUGUGAUGUAUUUAGCAGUUAUUUGGAGUCUCAUACUGUCCGAUAUAAUACCUUACGCCAUGAGGCCUUCAAAUUUGUAGAUGAAGGGGCAGAAUCUGUUGACUGUUACAACGUGGCAAUGGUUGCUCUACAAGAGGCUGCCAAAAGAGUUGCCCUUGCAACAAAGAAUGAGGGAAAAACACCCAUGAUCAAUGGGCGUAUCAGGGAGAACUCAACCAAUGAUGGAAGCCAGGCAAAUUAUAGUAGUGGGGAUCACCCCAGGAGCAUCUCUCAGCAAUUAUCUGAGUAUUCUUGGGUUAGGAUUGUAGAGUAUAUAUGGCUGAAUUGACGAGUGAAUCAACAACUAUUUCUCAGCCACUAAAGGGGGAGAGUUCCAUCAUGAUUACUACAUCUGACACUAUGAAUCCUAGCCUUAAAAUCGCUUCUCUAUUUAAUGGUCAAAACUACCUAGCAUGUCAGACUCUUUUUUUCAAGAGUAUGGGAAAGAUGGGUUAUGUUGAUGGGAGAAUGCAAGCACCUAGUAUUACAGAUUCCAGUUAUGACCAGUGGGAAAUUACAAAUUCUCUGAUCAUGGGAUGACUGAUACACUCUAUGGUUCUUGAGAUUGGUGAAGGAUACUUGUCUAUGGAUACUGCACAAGACAUUUGGGAGGCUGUGGCUACUACUUGUUCCCGCAAAAGGAAUUUCUCCCAGGCAUUCAAAUCGCGUUGAUCCAUUGAAAGGUCGAUACAAGAUGAGAUGACUAUCCUCCAGUAUUUUACCUUUCUUAGCAAUGGGUGGAAGUGUCUUGAUCACCUUCAGGAUUACAAGCCUGUCUGUCCAACUAAUUCUGCUGGUUACCGAAAGUUUGUGGACCACGAGCGGGUCUUCAAGUUCUUGGAAGGUCUGAAUGUGGAGUAUGAUCCGGUUCGAAGCAGUCCUUGGCAUGGAUGUGCAUUAUUCUCUCGAGGACGCCUUUGCUUUUGUGCAGCAUGAGGAGUCACCGCUCUGCUAUGCUUCUUUCUACCACUACUAAUCACUCUGCCUUGGUUUCUGCACCCCCUCGAGAUGGAAAGCGGGUAAAACGUGGUUCUCAUCCUUCUUCUGAGAAAAAUCAUCUUUUCUGUGACUACUGUUGUCGAUCUUGCCACACCUGAGAGACUUGUUGGAAGCUGCAUGGGACUUCUUCUGGCGGCCGAGGCGACCGCCCUGGUUCUUGCAGGGGUAGAUCCAGCCAGUCUAGAGGUUGAGGGGCCAAUGCUCGGGCACAUCUUUCAGACACGGUUGAGCCACCACCUUCAUCUCCAGUUGACUUUCUGGCUGCUGAUGUUUCGGGGUUAUCUGCCUCGGAUUUUGAGAUUGCUCUUUGCUACUUGCUUGACCGUCGAGUCUCCACAUCUACCACAGGACCUUAUCAUGAGGAAGGAAAAUGGCAGUGGUAGAGAGGAACAUGGUCUCUACAUUCUAAUUUAGACAGAUAAACUGGCUCACUCAUUUAUGCAGUUACCAUCCACCAAGGAAGACCUUUGGCUAUGGCACCGCCGUUUAAGACAUCUUUCUUUUGUACUCCUUAAGCAUUCCCUUUUGUUUUUGAGAAA